CUUCGAUGUGGUUGAAUAUGUUGCAGAUUAAAGGAGAUGAUGGUUGUUGAUUGAACGUGAUGGUUGUUGUAUGAUUUCAUUCUAAGGUGAUCUUUGUUAUCCUGUAUUUUGUUUAUUGAUCAUUCUAUGUUUUUUGUUUUACAGGUUACUGAUUUGCACGAAGUUGAAAAACAAAUCAUGUAGUUUAUGGCUUAUGGAUCCAAUCGAUUCCCUCGCAUCUUCUCUUUAGCUUUGUUUUGUUGCAGGCCUGCAGGGUGUUUUUUUAUGGACCUGGUGUGCAUGGUUUUUGUUCGGUGCAAGGUUGGUAUAGUUUCAGGUGCAUUUUGUGAACCAAAUCGUAUUUGGUUUGUGUAUUGCAGCAGGUUCGUUGGUAUGAAACAAAGUGAAAAUGGCAUGGAUUUUUUAAUCAAGUUUGGAACUGUCUUGGAAAAGAAGAAUCAAGGCUCAUGGACAUGUUUCUUUUUUAGAGUACAAGAGCAAAGCAUGGCACAUGAUGUCCAUGGUAAACUGAAUGCUGCAGAUUUUCCCACGUGAUGCAGGGUGAAAAACCUUCUCUGUUGAUUCUGAAAUAAAUUGUUGUAGUCUUUGUGUGAAAAAGAUCUGAUAUUUCUGUAUCAUUGGACAUUGAAGAUUGAUCUCUAGAUUAAGAAAUUUUUUAUUUGAUUUAUGUUAA
Vicia villosa (hairy vetch) is the source of this 673-nucleotide long non-coding RNA. RefSeq lists it as uncharacterized. The transcript is spliced from 2 exons. The record is from RefSeq and is a predicted model, not a curated record. NCBI's taxonomy places the organism in Eukaryota, Viridiplantae, Streptophyta, Magnoliopsida, Fabales, Fabaceae.